This 675-nucleotide long non-coding RNA is filed under the name Olea europaea subsp. europaea. The record is from RNAcentral. Lineage: Eukaryota; Viridiplantae; Streptophyta; Magnoliopsida; Lamiales; Oleaceae.
AAACAAGUUUUCUCCUUCAUUGCUCAAUUAUCACUUUUAUUUUUUGUGGUCUUCAUUUUCAAUCAUGACCAGCCUGAAUAUGUAUUUAAAACUUUACAGAUACUAAAUCAGUUUUGGAAAAAGGAUCUUAUUUUAGUCCUGAAUGUUUGCCCUCUCUUGUUGCAGCAGUAAAAUUGAAGUCACAUACCAGGAGGCUGUUGCUUUAAACUGGCAAGAAUAGCUCAUCAGUGAAGACAGAAGAGGCAGCUUGGAUGGUCGAGAAUGAGCAGAAAGCAAAAUGUGGAUCAGCUGAUAAGGAAAAGAAGUAGAAAAAAAAUGUAGGUUUGCUAAAAUCAAUUUAUACCUCGUGAACACUAGUUCCAUCCAAUUGGAAAUAGAGAAGAUGGAGUUACAGUCGAAGUUGUUGAACUUUUACUAAUUAGACAAUAGAAAAUGUUGAUAUCUAAGAAGUGUAAUAAAUUAGUCUAGAAAAAGUUGGUAUUGUCCUUCAAAUUUUUCUUCAGUGAGAUCAAGUUCGUGAAGUAUUUGCAUUUUUGUUUCUGUGAACAUAUUUUUACUUUGUAAUCAAUGUUAAAUGCAUGAUAUCUUGUAAGAUUCUAUGCAAUGGAACAUAUCGUGUGAUUUUAGAUAUUUCUUGAUUUUGAAUUCUUGUUGGUGCAUUGUACUUGAAUUGGG